Long non-coding RNA from Protobothrops mucrosquamatus (brown spotted pit viper), 429 nucleotides. RefSeq lists it as uncharacterized. The record is from RefSeq and is a predicted model, not a curated record. Lineage: Eukaryota; Metazoa; Chordata; Lepidosauria; Squamata; Viperidae. The transcript has 6 exons.
CCACAAACGCCGUCGAAGGCUGAGAAGCAAAUGGAGAAACGGAAUGCAGGUGAAAGGCAGGACUUGGAGUAACAUGAGGAAUUGUUUAAGCAAAACUGUUGACAGUGGUUUUGAGGAUGGAAUUACUAGUUUGAGAUGUUUACUGUUUUAUGGGAUCUCUUGAACAAGAUUAGUUUAAAAACAGUGGCAGUUGAUUGGUAGAAGAAUUUUGACUUCACAAUAUAAUGGUAGUUGAUGAACUGAUAUUUGGCUUUUCAAGGUAUGUAUACUCUGCACUAACAUACUUGUUUUCUUGAGAAUGGUGAAAUGAUGAUACCCCAAUCUUGAACUCUCUCUCUGAAUAUGUGAUGGAAUAUCCAGAAUCUGACCCAUUCACAUUUUAUAUUGUUUUGUAUCUCUAAAUGGGGAAUGUAUUGGCUUGAUUCUUUU